RNAcentral lists this ribosomal RNA (374 nucleotides) under uncultured prokaryote. Its description in RNAcentral is "bacterial SSU rRNA". It matches the Rfam family "Bacterial small subunit ribosomal RNA", at positions 524 to 896 of the family's 1533-position model. The record is from RNAcentral.
UACAGAGGGUGCAAGCGUUGUUCGGAAUUACUGGGCGUAAAGCGAGUGUAGGCGGCUUAUUAAGUCAGAUGUGAAAUCCCUUGGCUCAACUGAGGAACUGCAUCUGAUACUGGUAGGCUUGAGUGUCGGAGGGGAUGGUAGAAUUCCUGGUGUAGAGGUGAAAUUCGUAGAUAUCAGGAGGAAUACCUGUGGCGAAGGCGACCAUCUGGAAGACAACUGACGCUGAGACUCGAAAGCGUGGGUAGCAAACAGGAUUAGAUACCCUGGUAGUCCACGCUGUAAACGAUGAGUGCUAGAUGUUGUGGGUAUUGACCCCCGCAGUGUCAAAGCUAACGCGUUAAGCACUCCGCCUGGGGAGUACGGUCGCAAGAUUA